This 239-nucleotide long non-coding RNA is filed under the name Rosa chinensis. RNAcentral's name for it is "sRNA RchiOBHm_Chr2g0117681". Lineage: Eukaryota; Viridiplantae; Streptophyta; Magnoliopsida; Rosales; Rosaceae. The record is from RNAcentral.
AGAAGAGUUCAAUUACAAUUGAAUGUCUUCAUGAAUUGGGGGAUUUUGGCCUACAUGAAAUCAGGAAGUUCAAUCAAAAGAAGACGUCUUCAGGCAUUAGAUGUCAACGAAUGGCUGGGCAAUGAACAACAUAAAAGAAAGUUUAUUUAUCAUUCUGUGUUUUUCUCACUGCUCUCGGCGGAAACGACACUCGUACUUCUGAGUCUAUACUACUACACGAUUCCUGCACUUGGGAUUAG